RNAcentral lists this long non-coding RNA (739 nucleotides) under Medicago truncatula (barrel medic). RNAcentral describes it as "long non-coding RNA (MTRU_LNC001595)". Lineage: Eukaryota; Viridiplantae; Streptophyta; Magnoliopsida; Fabales; Fabaceae. The record is from RNAcentral.
CUCAAACUUCCUAGUGCUGCUUCUUUUUGCUCUAUUUGCCAUUCCUCAGGGUCUUGCCAAUUAUGAGAAGCCUCCGGUUUACCAACCACCGGUGUAUAAGCCACCAGUUGAGAAACCCCCGGUCUACAAACCCCCUGUAGAAAAGCCACCAGUAUAUAAGCCACCAGUAGAGAAGCCUCCAGUUUACAAACCACCGGUGUACAAGCCACCUGUGUACAAACCCCCAGUAGUGAAACCCCCAGUCUACAAACCUCCUGUUUACAAGCCACCGGUGUACAAGCCACCAGUUUACAAACCACCAGUAGAGAAGCCCCCAGUUUACAAGCCACCUGUAUACAAACCCCCAGUAGUGAAACCCCCAGUCUACAAACCUCCUGUUUACAAGCCACCAGUUGAGAAGCCUCCAGUUUACAAGCCACCAGUAGUGAAGCCACCUGUUUACAAGCCCCCAGUCUACAAGCCACCAGUAGUGAAGCCACCUGUAUACAAGCCUCCAGUCUACAAGCCACCCGUUUACAAGCCUCCAGUUGAGAAGCCUCCGGUCUACAAGCCACCUGUUUACAAGCCCCCAGUUGAGAAACCUCCAGUCUACAAGCCACCGGUUUACAAGCCUCCAGUCGAGAAGCCACCAGUUUACGGACCUCCUCACCACCCAUAGGACUCUCGGAUGCUUUUAAGUAAAUAAGUUAAAUAAGAGAUAUAUAAUGUUUCCAAAGCAAGGAUUAUAUAUUCUUGGAAU